UCAUUUAACCCAAGACCUCCACACGGGGCAUUGACUAGAAUCCUCUGGACUCUUUGAGUAGUUUAACACAAGACCUCCACAAGGGGAAUUGAUCGCCAUAAUAAGAAAAUAUUUAAUAUUUAAACAUAAAGUUGUAUGUUAACAUGAUUUUUGUAUUUGAUUAAUUUUUUGCAUUUUUGUUUUGGUAAAUUCUUUGAUAUUAUGAGUUUUGGUUGCAUGUCAGUAUUUUAGUGUAAAUAAGUUUAAAUUUUUAAUUUAUU
RNAcentral lists this long non-coding RNA (260 nucleotides) under Lathyrus oleraceus (garden pea). RNAcentral describes it as "Pisum sativum (pea) long non-coding RNA (PSAT_LNC018246)". Lineage: Eukaryota; Viridiplantae; Streptophyta; Magnoliopsida; Fabales; Fabaceae. The record is from RNAcentral.